Molecule: long non-coding RNA, 2450 nt
Organism: Gallus gallus (chicken)
Lineage: Eukaryota; Metazoa; Chordata; Aves; Galliformes; Phasianidae
Source: Ensembl
UUUCUUUCCGGCAGUCAGUCCUUUUGGUGUUUUCUGCUGCAAGCCGAAGGCAUGAGAAUUCAGCAGUGUUAAACCUUGAGGUACUGGGACAUAAACGUACAGCCCAAAGACACGGAAUUUCAGUUCUCCUGGCAUUGCCUCACAUCUCUUACUGGACCAGAGGAUCUUUUUGAUAGGCCUUCAGCUUUGUUUUGGAGAAAUCAGAAGGCAAGACAUCCACCACUGUCCUGAUUAUUUUGUCCCUAUAGCUGAUAAGUCUUAACAAUUCACCAUCUGGUCAGAAAUAAAUGCUUUAUGGGGAAAAAAAAAAUACACUGUGACUUGGCAAGCGCUUUAGCAUUAUCCUAAAGAAUAUGCAGUGUGUAUUGCAAACUCAGAGAGAUCUGUAUUAAAACUAUAUCCUGUAGCUUUGCCUCUAAAGUUUCCCUAAAGAAUAGAGGAACUUUCCCCAGGAAGUGUUUUCAUCAGAUGCCAGAUGGGUAUUUGUUUCAGAAGAGCUGAGUAUAACAGAAUACCUGACUUAAGAUUUCACAAGAUAAGAAGUGCCUGGUUGGUGCUAAAGUUUUGUUUUUAAUUUGCUUUUUAUGAUGGGAGUUGCUGUCACUGGAAUUCUGAGCUGUGAUCAGGAGCAGAGCCAGGACAGAUAAGGCAAAUGCACUCUACUCUGAAAACUGACAAACUAGCAUAGCUGAGCAGUCGCUAAUACUGGAGACAGAUCUCUUUCAGGCACUAGUUCAAGCUGAAUUUAUUCCCAGUCACCUCCAAGGAAGACAAGCUAAAAAUGGAAUGCCCCACAAUGAUAUAUGACUGUUAGAAGUUUAUAAUCUAUGUGCCCACAGUUUACUGGAAGGAGGAAAUAAGAGAAGGGGAAACAAUACAACUUUCCUCUGCACAUGUGCAUGCCAACAUGUACACAUGCUAAUACAGAUAUAAGAAUUCUAUUUAUAAACAUAAGAACUUACAUAUUUCAGUGUACGUUACAAUGCAUUUUAGAUUUUGUCAGAAAAAGAAGUCCCAAUUAACUGAGUUUAAUGAAGCAGAGAAGACCAGAACUCACUGCAGCUUUGUGUUUGCUUCACCCAUAUAGCAGUGUAGCUUCUUUGGGAAGGAAACAAUGGGCCAUUUCAUUGUACGUUACCUAGCACAGUGGUUCUAAAUACUCCAGUAUUUUACUUUGGUUUAAUCAAUGUAUGGUCAUGAAGUUUUUAGUUCUCCAAGCUGUUAUAAAUUGUACUAGAAACUGCAUUAAUCCAUGAAUCCUGUAAAGUUGAUGAAAACUUAGUAUUAGGCAGUCCUGAGCCUGAAACUUAUGUUUAUUUCGGCUUCCUGGACUUGGAACUUAUAGCUGAUGUACUACUUUAUUGGAAAGCAAUAGAAGAUCUUGUACUUCCAUGUAGAAGAGAGACCAAGAGUGAGAAACAGCAACUAGAUGCUUAAAUGGAAACAUCUGCAUAUGCAAUUAAAAUAGCUAUGUCUCCAAAUAGCAUACAGACAAAUCUGCAUCUGUAAUGUAAAUAGAAGGAGAAGCGUGAUUGGGAUGGACCAAAAACUUGGUUUUUAAUGUUCUGUGCAUAUAUCUUUUAUGUUGGAGUGUGUUUAGCUUUAAUCCUACCAUAGAGGGGGAAGUCUGUUUUUAAUUUAUCAGUAUAACAUUUUAUAAUUCUUUUGUUCUAAGGGACCCCCUUUUUCCACUGCACAAUGAAAGCAGAAAUCUUGCAAACAGUGUAUUUAUCUGUCUUCAGGGGCUGAGGGUUAAUAUCCAAUAGCUCAUAACAUCUUUAUUACAAUGCAUUUAUAAUGAUUUACUGAAAUGAUUCUGUAGCUAAGUAUCUAAUGUCAAAGACUAGAUUUGGCGUGGUAGAAAAUGUCUUAUCCUUGGGUAGCUCUAGGGAAAAUAAGGCCACAGCCACUGCUUUCUGUGUAAUUCUACAAACUGUAAUAAGGAUGGGGUAAUUGCAUUAAUGUCAAUUAAGCUAUUAAUAAUGCCCAUCCUGUCAUUCCUAAAUAAAGCAGUCACUCAUACAUAUUAUUGUCGCCUGUAAAGACUGUACAUAAAUGAGAUCAUAGCUUAUUUAUGAUUUCAAGUCUGACUGAUAGCCAGUCUUGUAUCUCUUGUGCAACACUUCAAAUCUAUUAUUUUGGAGAGAAACAACCUGCAAUCCUUGAAGAAGCCAUGUUCUAAGCUGUGAUACUGAUUACCCCAAAAUGCCAGCAGGGCACUGUGUGUUACUUUCAUUCAUGCCAGAGGAAACUUUGUCAUGACUGAGAAGAAAGAUCUUUAGAACAAUACUUGCAACAUGUCUGUGCACCCAAGCAAAAAUUUCAGCUCUGUUGAUGACUUGAAGUUUCCUGUCUAAUAGGCCAUAAUUUAAUACUGUCCUCACUAACUAUCUUCUGUAGGCUACUGUAUUUUGGUUGCAUUUGUGAAACAAAGAUCAUUUUCUAGUGCC